RNAcentral lists this long non-coding RNA (7672 nucleotides) under Manihot esculenta (cassava). Its description in RNAcentral is "long non-coding RNA (MESC_LNC001825)". Lineage: Eukaryota; Viridiplantae; Streptophyta; Magnoliopsida; Malpighiales; Euphorbiaceae. The record is from RNAcentral.
UCGUCACCAUCGCCACUGUCCCCGUCAGUGCUGCUUUGCUGCCGUAUAUUGAGACCGUAGGACAUACUCUUAUCGUCCUCGCCGUGGCCAUCGGUGGCGAUCUCGAAGCGAAGGCCUUCGUUGUCGGAUUUGAGAGUGGGAAGGAGGUCGAGGUUCUUCAUACGCUUGUGAGGCGUCCAUUCGUUCUCUUUAGGGGGGAUGAUGAGAUUCCGAUUGGAACUGGGUAGGGUUUUUGAGGGAUCAAAUUCAGUGACAUAUUCUUUUACAGCGCCACUGUUUUGGCUAACAGUAUUGGAUUCAGAGGAAGGUUUAGGUUUAGAUGUGGAUUUGGCGGCCGAUUUAGGGAUUGAGAAGGAGAGCUUCAUUGCCUCUAGAAUUUUGGAUGAAAAUUGCAACACCGACGCUUUGGUCUUCCUCCACGCCGCUGCUGCAAUUCUAUGAACCUCCCCCUUUUUGUUUAUAUGACUAUUUAGGCCAAACGUCUUGAGAAAUUUACGAUUCUAACCCUCUGUUUAUAUUAUAUUCACUCCAUCCAAUAAUUUUUUUAUUAUCCUACAAUUAUUAUUCACUUAUUUUUUAAAAAUUAUAAUAAUAUGUAAAUUAAUAAUUAUAACUCUAUUUAAUUUAAAAUAAAUUAUAUUUUAAUUUAUAAAUUUUAAUAUAAUUAAUAAAUUAAUAUUUAUAUUUUUAAAACUGAAUAACUAAAUUUAUUUAUAAUCGGUCUAUUCAAAUUAGAAAUUUUUUUAUCUAUUUUAAUUGUUAAAAUUAUAAAAAAAAACUUUUUAUUAUCUUUUUAAAUAGAUAAAAUAUAUUUAAUCCUUUAAAUUUUAUUAUAAUUAAUAGAUUUGUUUCUAUAUUUUUAAAAACAUACACUUACAUUCUUCUAUAAUUAGUUUAUCUCAUCAGCUAUAAUUUAAACAUUUUUAUUUUUUAUUUUUUAUUUAAAAAAAUACUUAAAUUUCUAUUAAGUUUUAUAUAUAAUAUCUCAUUCAAUUAAUUUUUAAUACUUCUAUUUUUAAUUUUUAUUUAUUAAAAUAUUUCAAUACUUAUAAUUUUAAAAUUUUUAAAAAAUAUUUACUAUUUUAACUAUUUUUAAGUAGUACCAAAUAAAUUUUAAAUAGAUUAUAAAAUUUUAUAAAGAAUAUUUUAGAGAGAAAGUAUACUUUUAAAAAAGUUUAAUUAUUCUAUAAUAGAUGAAACCGUUGUAAUUUUAAAUAGAUUAAAUAUAGAGAAAUUUAAGAAUUUAAUUUUAAAAAUAAAAGAAUGAAUCUGUCAAUCACGUUAAAAUUUAAAAAUUAAAAUAUAUUUUAUACGAUAUAAAAUUAUCAUCUAAUAAUUUUUCACAAUAGUAUUUUAAAUAUUUGUAACGCUUAUUCAUUUUAUUCUCCCUUUAACCGAUUGACAAACUAAAUGAUUGUAUAAAAAUUUAAAUAUUUGAUUUUAAAUAUACAAUUUAAAUAUUUGAUUUUAAAAAUAUAGAAAUUAAUUUAUUAAUUAUAUUAAAAUUAAAAAAAUAAAGUAUAAUUUAUUUUUAAUUUUAUUUUAUUUUUUAAAUUUUUAAAAAAUUAUUUUAAUAUUUAAUAAAUUUUAAUAUAUUUAAAAAGAUAUAAUUAAAAAAAUAAUAAAAAAAGUUAUAUUUCUUAUAAAAAAAUAAAAUAAAUAAAAAUUAUUAUAUAACGGAAAGAAUUGUAUUAUAAACCUAUCAUAUAAAUACUCACCUGCUUAAUUUGGUGUUAAGUGUUUAGAUUCUACUCUACUAAUCUCCAAUUUUUAUUUUUUUUUUAAAAAAAAACCUAUCAUAUAAUAAAUUAAAUUAAUUUUUAUUUUCUAAAAUUUUCAUUAUCAAAUCUAUAUGCGAUUCUCGCAUAUGCAAUUGUCUGACAUUCUUUAUUUUAUUAAUUAAAAAAAUAUAAUAAUAUAAUAUAUCUUUUCUUUUUUUGAUAUUUUAGAUUACAUUGGUAAAAAAAAAUCAUAAACAAAAUUUUCAUAUUGUAGAGAUUGUAAUUUCAAACUCUAUUGCCCAUUUAUUCUUAGGGAAGUUUACAAUUUAGUCUUCAACAAAUCGUUCCUUUCAUCAUCCACUGUUACUCUCUCUUUUCCAUUAAAAACUAAGAUGAAAAGGAGAGAGAAUAUUUUGAAAAUUCAAUUUUAGCCUUUGGCCUUCCUGCGUUUAUUGAAGAACCCACCAUCCACACCUUCCGGCUACCUCCUCAGCUAGUAAAAAAAGAUUACCAGCGACUCUACGAUUACUUCUACUCCUCCGCCGGAUCCCUCCUUGACGAGGCUGAGAAGAUGGGUCUCUCGCGAGAAGAAGCUCGUCACAAUAUCCUUUUUGCCACAUGCUUUAACACCUUCGGAAGCCUUAAGAUCUUUUUCCCGAACAUACUCAAGUGGAUCGGUCAUGCAGGAGUGAAGCUUCAUACCCAAUUAGCCUAAGAGAUCAGAUCAGUCCUUAAAUCCAACGGAGGACAGAUCACGAUGGCUGCUCUGGAACAGAUGCCACUAAUGAAAUCCGCUGUGUACGAAGCAUUCCGUAUCGAACCGCCGGUACCAGCACAGUACGGGAAAGCAAAGCGUGAUUUGGUCAUCGAGAGUCACGACGCAGCUUUUGAAGUAAAAGAAGUUGAAAUGAUAUUCGGGUACCAACCAUUCGCGACGAGAGAUCCGAAAAUAUUCGACAGACCCGAUGAGUACGUUCUGGAUCGAUUCGUCGGCGACGGAGAAAAGUUAUUGAAGCACGUGCUGUGGUCAAACGGACCAGAGACAGAGCAUUCAACGGUGGGAAACAAACAGUGCGCGGGUAAAGAUUUCGUGGUAUUUAUAUCAAGACUUUUCGUGGUUGAAUUAUUUCGACGAUACGAUUCGUUUGAAAUUGAAGUUGGAUCAUCGCCGUUGGGGUCUUCCAUCACCAUUACGUCGUUGAAGAGGGCGAGUUUUUAAGGCGGCUGUGGAAUAGUAAUUAAAGAAAAAAAUUUAUAGGAAAAAUUCGGAGUCGUCUUCACAGAUCUCGACUUCAGCAUCAGUUAAAAUUAAUUAUAAAAAAAAAAAAUCGAAGGAUGUCUCAGCGCAGGCAUGCUUGUAAUAAUUGAACUAAAAUUUGCAGGGGGGCAACGAUGUCGGGGUGGUGAAAGGGAUCUUUGCUUCUAUCAAUUAUAAUUUACAAUCUUCAUGUGCGGUUGAGAUUGAAUGGGAUGUUCUUUAAUUUAUGAAAUGUAAUUUAUGAAAGGUAGCCGGAAGGUGUGGAUGGUGGGUUCUUCAAUAAACGCAGGAAGGCCAAAGGGUAAAAUUAAAUUUUCAAAAUAUUAUUUCUCCUAUUUUAACAGAAAAGAAGCUAAUAGUGAAUGAAAUGAACAAUUUGUUAACGGGAUCGAUUUGUUAACACGUUUUAAUAGAUUUCUAAAAAUACAGGAACUGAAUUGUUAAUAAUGACAAUAAUCAGAAAUUAAAUUAUAAAUUUACAUUAUUUCUAUUUACCUAUGUGAAAGAGGUUUUUAAAAGAAGCCAAUGAAAAACUAACAAGUGGCAUAUUUGUACCAAUUAUUUUUCAUAUUUAAGUUGUAUUUUCAUUUUGUUCUGCAUCCUGAUACGCUCACUCAAGCACAAAGAACAACUCCUCUUUAACCUCAUAUGUACAAGUAGAUGAUGAAAUCUCCUCUUAAUGAAUCUAAACCAAUAUUUGGCAUGUGUGAAAAACAUCUUUUUAAUCAAAGGAAUUACCCCAUUUGAUUGAUCUAAACAUCAGAAAUUUAGAAUAGACUAUCUUUAAGGCUUCCCCCAGCGAGCAAAUUGAAAAAUGAUUCCUCUUUGUUGCCACUGUCCAUUUCAGAUUCUGCAGAAUGAAGACUUGUACCCGUUGUACUAGAAGUUGAGGUUACCGGUCUUUUAACUGAGAUGAAUGCUGCUGUUGAGGGUGCAGGUCUUUUAACCGAGACAAAUGCUACAGAUGCCGAACUCGACCUUGGUGUCAAAGUUUUAGAGCUUGGAGAUGAACUUGAGAUUGGAAGCAUGUCACCUUCUGGUGGGAGUUUUUCAUCUGGAGUUCCUGCAUUAUCUGGGUUAUCUCCCAGGUCAACACCACCUUCAACUUCCUUCCUGUCCACUCCGUCUUUGGCAGGACCCUCAUUCAAGUCCUCAAAGUCAGAAUCAUCUUGUAUCCCGAAAAAAGUAGUAUGAGGGAAUAUAGCAACAAAAUCAUAAAGGCAGCAAAAAUAUUAAGGGAAGGAAAAAAAGAAUGAAGAAUGUAGCAAUCUAAGAUUACAAUGAAGUAGAGUAAAAAAAGGUGCUAAAACAUGUAAAGACAGCGAAUAUAAAUCAUAAGCCCAUGCCUAGAACUUCCCAAAAAUCACUACAGCAAUUGCAUAUAGUUGACAAAUAGCAACCCCUUGACAAAAGACUCACGCCAUAUGCAUCAAGGAUUUUGUUCUCCCCAACUUGUAUGCACGUUGAACAGUUUAAGCAGUUGAUAGGAAAAGGUUGUAUAUUUUCCAAGGUAUUUGUCAUGUUAGCAUAUUGCCAAGGUUCUAAUUUAAGGCAUGUUAAUUAAUGCCUAAUGGCUGAUCUACAUAUUCACUAUUCACAUUUAUAACUAGAUUCUAGAUUCUAGGUAUAAUUGCACUACACCAAGCUCCAGUGAGAGUUAAGGAGUGGGAAAAAAAAAAGAUUUCAUCGUUGUUUGAUUCUGAAAGGAAAUUAGCGACAAUCCCAAUUAAUUAUCAAAGAACAAUUCAUCGUUUGAAUAAAUAAUCAAGAUAUUCAUCAAUAGGAAUUUCUCAAACAAACUGGUGUUGCACUUAAUUAAGCAAAGUCAGGUUAAAGUUUUAAUGAGUGCAUAACUACUGUCUGCAAAAGGCAAUAGUUGAUAUUGAUGAAGAUUAUGCUGCAGUUGUACAGUAAAUAAAGUUGCACGCAAUCACCAAACUACUUGGUCAGUUGGUCCUAAAUCUCCCUCACCCGUUUCUCUUUUCUCUUCAUAUUUAAGCAUACAAAUCACCUCUAGCUAACUAAACGCCUCUACUUUUUCUAGAUAAACGGAACAAAAAUUCAGCUAGAAAUCUAAUCAACAUUUAUGUGAAUGCAUCCAUUUCUGAGAUAUGGUGUCCAAAAAACUGGCGCAAGUGAUCCCUUGGAGUUCCAAAAUGAUGCUAGACACAUCUACUUUAUGCCAUCCGCUCUUCUAUUUAAUCUCAAUCAUAGCUGAGUUCAGCUCCUCUGAAACCAACAGUGGAAAGGCCUCAGUAUUUUUUUCACCCAGUUUUGUGGACUUGGCCAAAAUCUAUAUUCAAGUUACAAUUACAACUUCUAAUGCAUAACCUCUUUUUUGCCUGCAUGAGAACAAGCCACCUAAAAUAGAAUAUUCAUCAAACUUACUUUUGUUAUGUAAAUGCAUAAUACAUGUAAUCCACAUCAAGAUACCUAAGAUCCCAUGGGGAAAAAAAAAAGAUAAGGUAAGAAACAAAAAGAAAAAACUCAGAAUAUCUGGAUUUUUAUUUUAAGUAUUUGCACAACUGAUAAUGAUUUAACAGCACUAAAGAAAAGUCAACCAAAAACUCUUUCUAAAAGUUUACUACACACGAAAACUUGAUUCAUGAUUAGACAAUGUCUGAUGGGACCAGACUAUAUCAUCUUUGCAAGAAAUCAUAAAGUUGGACAUUGAAAUCCUUUACUUAAGAUACAGGGAGGCCAAGAAUAUAUACAUAGAGAUGUACUAUGGGAAUAUUUAGAUGGCAUUACAAAAAGAAGAGCUGAAGACAAAACCUAGUAGCAAACAAACAAGGAAACUCUCAGGUCUGUUGGAUUUGCACAACUAAUUACCUCUUAUAUAUACAAUGAGACCGCAAUCAUGCCUAAUAAGUGGCUCAUUCGACAUGUGAUGAAGUUUUCAUUCCAUUUCCACACUAAUAGCUCUUUAAGGUCAAACAUGACAGUAUGAGCAGUUCAAUAAAAUAUAUAAACGAUGAUUCAAGCUAAAAGAAGCUAAAUACUCAGACAUAAUCGAAUGCAAGAACUGGUUUAUGGAUAGACAGAAGUUCAAUUUCAUAUAAUAUCAAAUAAGCAAUGACAGAACAACAACAUGACAAAAACUAAAUUCCUUAAUGAGUGUAGAAAGAGUGAAGCGAACUAUAUAUCAAAAAAGGCAAUCAAGCGAAGUAUCCCAAAGUACCUAUUGGCAGCAUGGACUGGAGAUGCAGGAGCAUCAAUAUCCAAUGUAGCUGGGAUCUCCAAGAUACUCUGCAAUUUGUUCAAGUUUGACAUUGAGCAAUUCUUGAGAAUCAGAAUCUUGCACAACCCCAGUCUCUUGGUCCAAAUCCCUCUGAACCAAUUUCCCAUAUACUCCCUUGUGCCUCCCGUAGAGAACAAGGACAGGACCCCCACGCCGUGGUAAAGCAGUCUCAAGAAGAUCCUGAUCUAUUCCCUGUACCAAUUCCUUAGUCUCAUCCAUCGAUAUAUCACAUACAUAUGGCCCAACCACAUCUACCACCUCCCCCUUCUUCAAAUAAAAUCUGCCUCCUUUCAAGUCCUUGCUUAUAAUUCUGACCCGAAUAUGAUUUCUGAGCCAUCGCUUUCUGUCAUCCUUCUCUUGACCACUGUCUCUCCUCAUACUUUCUCUGCUUUCUCUAAUUGGUUCAAUAAUGCGCUUUUCACUGUCCCUAUCCUUUGAUUGCUUUCCUUCUAUUUGUAACGUUUUCAACUUCCUUAAGCACUUCUCUUCUUCCUUAGAGCCCAAAUCAGCGAUAUCAGAAACACGCAGUUUUAGUUCCUCCGUUGUUUCUGAAAGCUUAGCAUCAUCUAGUCUCUUUGAAAUUCUACCCUUUGAACCCAAAAUGCCUUUUCCACCGGCAAUAACUCUGACAUCUUUACCAACAAAGAAACCAUCACCAUGUCCGUCCUUAACUCUUUCUCUUUUCCUCUCGUUUUGCCCGUCUCUAUCCUUAACACUAGUACUAGUAGUAUUAGAAGCAGGAGGAACAAAACCCAAACCUUCUUUAUCAGUCCUCUUGUGGUAUUGCUUGACUUUAACAUCUUCCUUAGCAUUUCUUCCGAUACCUCUGCCUUCAUGCCAACCAUAGCCAGCCAGUAAAGCCGCGCCAAAGCCUUCCACCGGUACAUCCUUAAACUCCUCAAAUCCUCGAUCCUCAGGCAACCGCUGGAGAUCGUACUUCAACUUCUCCAACAACAAAUUCUCAGUAGUUUCGACUUUCUGGUAAGAUUUGACUCCUUCGUCACCAUCGCCAUUGUCCCCAUCAGUGCUGCUUUGCUGCCGUAUAUUGAGACCGUAGGACAUACUCUUAUCGUCCUCGCCGUGGCCAUCGGUGGCGAUCUCGAAGCGAAGGCCUUCGUUGUCGGAUUUGAGUGUGGGAAGGAGGUCGAGGUUCUUCAUACGCUUGUGAGGCCUCCAUUCGUUCUCUUUAGGGGGGAUGAUGAGAUUCCGAUUGGAACUGGGUAGGGUUUUUGAGGGAUCAAAUUCAGUGACAUAUUCUUUUACAGCGCCACUGUUUUGGCUAACAGUAUUGGAUUCAGAGGAAGGUUUAGGUUUAGAUGUGGAUUUGGCGACCGAUUUAGGGAUUGAGAAGGAGAGUUUCAUUGCCUCUAGAAUUUUGGAUGAAAAUUGCAACACCGACGCUUUGGUCUUCCUCCACGCCGCUGCUGCAAUUCUAUGAACCUCCCCCCUUUU